This 113-nucleotide ribosomal RNA is filed under the name Paenibacillus sp. J22TS3. The record is from RNAcentral. Lineage: Bacteria; Bacillati; Bacillota; Bacilli; Caryophanales; Paenibacillaceae.
UUGGUGGCGAUGGCGGAGGGGUUCCACGCGUACCCAUCCCGAACACGACCGUUAAGCCCUCCAGCGCCGAUGGUACUUGGACCGCAGGGUCCUGGGAGAGUAGGACGCCGCCA